UACGUAGGGUGCAAGCGUUGUCCGGAAUUAUUGGGCGUAAAGAGCUCGUAGGCGGUUCGUCGCGUCGGCUGUGAAAACCCGGAGCUCAACUCCGGGCCUGCAGUCGAUACGGGCGGACUUGAGUGUUGCAGGGGAGACUGGAAUUCCUGGUGUAGCGGUGAAAUGCGCAGAUAUCAGGAGGAACACCGGUGGCGAAGGCGGGUCUCUGGGACGGUACUGACGCUGAGACGCGAAAGCGUGGGGAGCGAACAGG
RNAcentral lists this ribosomal RNA (253 nucleotides) under uncultured bacterium. RNAcentral describes it as "partial 16S ribosomal RNA". It matches the Rfam family "Bacterial small subunit ribosomal RNA", at positions 524 to 776 of the family's 1533-position model. The record is from RNAcentral.